UUGAACGCUGGCGGCAUGCCUUACACCUGCAAGUCGAACGGUAACAGGUCUUCGGAUGCUGACGAGUGGCGACCGGGUGAGUAAUACAUCGGAACGUGCCCGAUCGUGGGGGAUAACGGAGCGAAAGCUUUGCUAAUACCGCAUACGAUCUGCGGAUGAAAGCAGGGGACCGCAAGGCCUUGCGCGGACGGAGCGGCCGAUGGCAGAUUAGGUAGUUGGUGGGAUAAAAGCUUACCAAGCCGACGAUCUGUAGCUGGUCUGAGAGGACGACCAGCCACACUGGGACUGGGACACGGCCCAGACUCCUACGGGAGGCAGCAGUGGGGAAUUUUGGACAAUGGGCGAAAGCCUGAUCCAGCCAUGCCGCGUGCAGGAUGAAGGCCUUCGGGUUGUAAACUGCUUUUGUACGGAACGAAAAGACUCUUUCUAAUAAAGAGGGUCCAUGACGGUACCGUAAGAAUAAGCACCGGCUAACUACGUG
RNAcentral lists this ribosomal RNA (481 nucleotides) under uncultured bacterium. Its description in RNAcentral is "partial 16S ribosomal RNA". It matches the Rfam family "Bacterial small subunit ribosomal RNA", at positions 30 to 507 of the family's 1533-position model. The record is from RNAcentral.